GAGAGGAGGGGUAGUUCUGUUCUCUUGGGCCUGAGAGGAGGGGUAGUUCUGUUCUUCUCAUGGACCUGAGAGGAGGGGUAGUUCUUUUCUCAUGGACCUGAGAGGAGGGGUAGUUCUGUUCUUCUCAUGGACCUGAGAGGAGGAGGGGUGGUUCUGUUCUCUUGGACCUGAGAGGAGGGGUAGUUCUGUUCUUCUCAUGGACCUGAGAGGAGGGGGGGAGUUCUGUUAUUCUCAUGGACCUGAGAGGGGGGUAGUUCUGUUCUCUUGGACCUGAGAGGAGGGGUAGUUCUGUUCUUCUCAUGGACCUAAGAGGAGGGGUAGUUCUGUUCUCAUGGACCUGAGAGGAGGGGUAGUUCUGUUCUCAUGGACCUGAGAGGAGGGGUAGUUCUGUUCUCAUGGACCUGAGAGGAGGGG
RNAcentral lists this long non-coding RNA (414 nucleotides) under Salmo salar (Atlantic salmon). RNAcentral's name for it is "lncRNA (ENSSSAG00000113892.1)". The record is from RNAcentral. Lineage: Eukaryota; Metazoa; Chordata; Actinopteri; Salmoniformes; Salmonidae.